AGAGUUUGAUCCUGGCUCAGAUUGAACGCUGGCGGCAGGCCUAACACAUGCAAGUCGAGCGGAUGAGUGGAGCUUGCUCCAUGAUUCAGCGGCGGACGGGUGAGUAAUGCCUAGGAAUCUGCCUAUUAGUGGGGGACAACGUUUCGAAAGGAACGCUAAUACCGCAUACGUCCUACGGGAGAAAGCAGGGGACCUUCGGGCCUUGCGCUAAUAGAUGAGCCUAGGUCGGAUUAGCUAGUUGGUGAGGUAAUGGCUCACCAAGGCGACGAUCCGUAACUGGUCUGAGAGGAUGAUCAGUCACACUGGAACUGAGACACGGUCCAGACUCCUACGGGAGGCAGCAGUGGGGAAUAUUGGACAAUGGGCGAAAGCCUGAUCCAGCCAUGCCGCGUGUGUGAAGAAGGUCUUCGGAUUGUAAAGCACUUUAAGUUGGGAGGAAGGGCAUUAACCUAAUACGUUAGUGUUUUGACGUUACCGACAGAAUAAGCACCGGCUAACUUCGUGCCAGCAGCCGCGGUAAUACGAAGGGUGCAAGCGUUAAUCGGAAUUACUGGGCGUAAAGCGCGCGUAGGUGGUUUGUUAAGUUGGAUGUGAAAGCCCCGGGCUCAACCUGGGAACUGCAUCCAAAACUGGCAAGCUAGAGUAUGGCAGAGGGUGGUGGAAUUUCCUGUGUAGCGGUGAAAUGCGUAGAUAUAGGAAGGAACACCAGUGGCGAAUGCGACCACCUGGGCUAAUACUGACACUGAGGUGCGAAAGCGUGGGGAGCAAACAGGAUUAGAUACCCUGGUAGUCCACGCCGUAAACGAUGUCGACUAGCCGUUGGGAUCCUUGAGAUCUUAGUGGCGCAGCUAACGCAUUAAGUCGACCGCCUGGGGAGUACGGCCGCAAGGUUAAAACUCAAAUGAAUUGACGGGGCCCGCACAAGCGGUGAGCAUGUGGUUUAAUUCGAAGCAACGCGAAGACCUUACCAGCCUUGACAUGCAG
This 984-nucleotide ribosomal RNA is filed under the name uncultured bacterium. RNAcentral's name for it is "bacterial SSU rRNA". It matches the Rfam family "Bacterial small subunit ribosomal RNA", at positions 8 to 991 of the family's 1533-position model. The record is from RNAcentral.